GAUGAACGCUAGCGGGAGGCUUAACACAUGCAAGUCGAGGGGCAGCAUAGGGUAGCAAUACUCUGAUGGCGACCGGCAAACGGGUGAGUAACGCGUAUGCAACCUACCCUGUACAGGGGGAUAACCCGGAGAAAUUCGGACUAAUAUCCCGUAAUAAUAUCCGGAGGCAUCUUUGGAUAUUUAAAGUUCCGACGGUACGGGAUGGGCAUGCGUAACAUUAGCUGGUUGGUAAGGUAACGGCUUACCAAGGCUAUGAUGUUUAGGGGUCCUGAGAGGGUGGUCCCCCACACUGGUACUGAGACACGGACCAGACUCCUACGGGAGGCAGCAGUGAGGAAUAUUGGUCAAUGGGCCAAGCCUGAACCAGCCAUCCCGCGUGCAGGAAGACGGCCCUAUGGGUUGUAAACUGCUUUUCCAGGGAGAGAAACUUACGCACGUGUUGCGUGACUGACGGUACCCUGGGAAUAAGCAUCGGCUAACUCCGUG
This 486-nucleotide ribosomal RNA is filed under the name uncultured bacterium. RNAcentral describes it as "bacterial SSU rRNA". It matches the Rfam family "Bacterial small subunit ribosomal RNA", at positions 28 to 507 of the family's 1533-position model. The record is from RNAcentral.